GGAGUUGUGGCUCAGUGCUAGAGUGCUUGCCUAGCAUGCACAAGGUGCUGAGUUUGAUCCUCAGUACCA
RNAcentral lists this transfer RNA (69 nucleotides) under Marmota monax (woodchuck). RNAcentral describes it as "tRNA.Ala". The record is from RNAcentral. Lineage: Eukaryota; Metazoa; Chordata; Mammalia; Rodentia; Sciuridae.